This 1015-nucleotide ribosomal RNA is filed under the name Luteimonas sp. FCS-9. Its description in RNAcentral is "bacterial LSU rRNA". It matches the Rfam family "Bacterial large subunit ribosomal RNA", at positions 1924 to 2925 of the family's 2925-position model. Lineage: Bacteria; Pseudomonadati; Pseudomonadota; Gammaproteobacteria; Lysobacterales; Lysobacteraceae. The record is from RNAcentral.
UAAACGGCGGCCGUAACUAUAACGGUCCUAAGGUAGCGAAAUUCCUUGUCGGGUAAGUUCCGACCUGCACGAAUGGCGUAACGAUGGCGGCGCUGUCUCCACCCGAGACUCAGUGAAAUUGAAAUCGCUGUGAAGAUGCAGCGUUCCCGUGGCAAGACGGAAAGACCCCGUGAACCUUUACUAUAGCUUUACACUGAACGUUGAGUUCGUCUGUGUAGGAUAGGUGGGAGGCUAUGAAACCCUGGCGCCAGCUGGGGUGGAGCCAACCUUGAAAUACCACCCUGUCGUGCUUGACGUUCUAACCUAGGUCCGUUAUCCGGAUCGGGGACCGUGUAUGGUGGGUAGUUUGACUGGGGCGGUCUCCUCCCAAAGAGUAACGGAGGAGCUCGAAGGUACGCUCAGCGCGGUCGGACAUCGCGCACUGUGUGCAAAGGCAUAAGCGUGCUUGACUGCAAGAUCGACGGAUCAAGCAGGUAGGAAACUAGGACUUAGUGAUCCGGUGGUUCUGUAUGGAAGGGCCAUCGCUCAACGGAUAAAAGGUACUCCGGGGAUAACAGGCUGAUACCGCCCAAGAGUUCAUAUCGACGGCGGUGUUUGGCACCUCGAUGUCGGCUCAUCACAUCCUGGGGCUGUAGUCGGUCCCAAGGGUAUGGCUGUUCGCCAUUUAAAGUGGUACGCGAGCUGGGUUCAGAACGUCGUGAGACAGUUCGGUCCCUAUCUGCCAUGGGCGUUGGAGAUUUGAGAGGGGCUGCUCCUAGUACGAGAGGACCGGAGUGGACGAACCUCUGGUGUUCCGGUUGUCACGCCAGUGGCACUGCCGGGUAGCUAUGUUCGGAAGCGAUAACCGCUGAAAGCAUCUAAGCGGGAAGCGCGCCUCAAGAUGAGAUCUCCCGGGAGCUUGACUCCCCUGAAGGAACCAUCAAGACCAGGUGGUUGAUAGGCUGGGUGUGUAAGUACAGCAAUGUAUUGAGCUAACCAGUACUAAUGAUCCGUGUGGCUUGACCAUAUAACCUCA